Molecule: unclassified non-coding RNA, 303 nt
Filed under: plant metagenome
Description: partial contains 5.8S ribosomal RNA, internal transcribed spacer 2, and large subunit ribosomal RNA
Rfam family: 5.8S ribosomal RNA (bases 1-105)
Source: RNAcentral
GAAAUGCGAUAAGUAAUGUGAAUUGCAGAAUUCAGUGAAUCAUCGAAUCUUUGAACGCACAUUGCGCCCGCCAGUAUUCUGGCGGGCUUGCCUGUUCGAGCGUCAUUUCAACCAUCAAGCCCCCGGCUUGUGUUGGGGACCUGCGGCUGCCCGCAGGCCCUGAAAACCAGUGGCGGGCUCGCUGUCACACCGAGCGUAGUAGCAUACAUCUCGCUCAGGGCGUGCUGCGGGUUCCGGCCGUUAAAAGCCUUUUUUACCCAAGGUUGACCUCGGAUCAGGUAGGAAGACCCGCUGAACUUAAGC